This 261-nucleotide ribosomal RNA is filed under the name uncultured bacterium. Its description in RNAcentral is "partial 16S ribosomal RNA". It matches the Rfam family "Bacterial small subunit ribosomal RNA", at positions 1240 to 1500 of the family's 1533-position model. The record is from RNAcentral.
CAAAGGGAAGCGAACAUGUGAGUGCAAGCGAAUCCCAAAAAUAACGUCUCAGUUCGGAUUGUAGUCUGCAACUCGACUACAUGAAGCUGGAAUCGCUAGUAAUCGCGAAUCAGAAUGUCGCGGUGAAUACGUUCCCGGGUCUUGUACACACCGCCCGUCACACCAUGGGAGUCAGUAACGCCCGAAGCCGGUGACCUAACCGAAAGGGAGGAGCCGUCGAAGGUGGGACCGAUAACUGGGGUGAAGUCGUAACAAGGUAGC